UACGAAGGGUGCAAGCGUUACUCGGAAUUACUGGGCGUAAAGCGUGCGUAGGUGGUUUGUUAAGUCUGAUGUGAAAGCCCUGGGCUCAACCUGGGAACGGCAUUGGAAACUGGCUUACUAGAGUGCGGUAGAGGGGUGUGGAAUUCCCGGUGUAGCAGCGAAAUGCGUAGAUAUCGGGAGGAACAUCUGUGGCGAAGGCGACACCCUGGACCAGCACUGACACUGAGGCACGAAAGCGUGGGGAGCAAACAGG
Molecule: ribosomal RNA, 253 nt
Filed under: uncultured bacterium
Lineage: Bacteria
Description: partial 16S ribosomal RNA
Rfam family: Bacterial small subunit ribosomal RNA
Source: RNAcentral